This 268-nucleotide ribosomal RNA is filed under the name Sergentomyia insularis. Its description in RNAcentral is "partial 28S ribosomal RNA". It matches the Rfam family "Eukaryotic large subunit ribosomal RNA", at positions 687 to 876 of the family's 3401-position model. The record is from RNAcentral. Lineage: Eukaryota; Metazoa; Arthropoda; Insecta; Diptera; Psychodidae.
CAUUGCUGAUGUGAUGCUUCUGGUGUUGCUUGGCAUGGAAUAGAUAUAUUUGAGAAAACCCAAAAGCGAAAUUAACGUGACUGUACGUAUGUACAUGGGAUUACAUUUAUUUAUUAUAUGUUGAUUUAUAAAAAUGAAUUUCCAUCCCAGGGCGAUUUAUAAUUAAUUUCGAUUAUGAAAUCGUACCUUGAGCAUACAUGGUAGGACCCGAAAGAUGGUGAACUAUGCCUGAUCAGGUUGAAGUCAGGGGAAACCCUGAUGGAGGACC